AAUUUGACUUUCUGUUUCUUCUUAUCAAACAAGAAACAUCAGAAAAGCAAACAAGUCAACGGAAGUUGUUCUUGUUUAAUAAAAAAAAAUAAAUCGAAUGCCUCUUUUUUUUAUUCAUUUCGAAAUAUCCCCUAAUUUUUGU
Molecule: long non-coding RNA, 142 nt
Organism: Frieseomelitta varia
Lineage: Eukaryota; Metazoa; Arthropoda; Insecta; Hymenoptera; Apidae
Exons: 4
Source: RefSeq, a predicted model, not a curated record